This 26-nucleotide small RNA is filed under the name Bombyx mori (domestic silkworm). Its description in RNAcentral is "ovarian small RNA-28156". Lineage: Eukaryota; Metazoa; Arthropoda; Insecta; Lepidoptera; Bombycidae. The record is from RNAcentral.
UCGAACUACACCUUCGCUGGGGCGCU